CGCAUCUGUGCAUGCAGCAUAUCAAUAAGCGGAGGAAAAGAAACUAACAAGGAUUCCCCUAGUAACGGCGAGUGAAGCGGGAAGAGCUCAAAUUUGAAAUCUUAAAGGGUUUCCCUUUACGAAUUGUAGUUUAAAGAAGUGUUUUCUGUUGAGGUUUUGGUAAAAGUUCUUUGGAAUAGGACAUCAUAGAGGGUGAGAAUCCCGUAUUUGACCUUUACUUUCAACUUUGUGAUACACUUUCAAAGAGUCGGAUUGUUUGGGAAUGCAGUCCAAAAUGGGUGGUAAAUUUCAUCUAAAGCUAAAUAUUGGCGAGAGACCGAUAGCGAACAAGUACCGUGAGGGAAAGAUGAAAAGAACUUUGAAAAGAGAGUUAAACAGUACGUGAAAUUGUCAAAAGGGAAGCGUUUGACACCAGUGUUGUUUUUCUGAAAAUCAAUUAAAGAACUGUUUAUGCUAAGUUGUUUAGACUUUAUCAGCUAAUCUGCUUAGUUUUGAGCUUUUCUUUAAUGCACUUUUCAGUUAACAAGUCAACAUCAAUUUCUUUUGCUGUAAAAAAGCUUGAGGAAGGUGGCUUGAGAUUCGUCUUAAGUGUUUAUAGCCUCUUGCCUAUGCAGUCGGAGAGAUUGAGGUCUGCAGCGUAGAUCCUUCGGGGCUAAAUGCAUUUGUGCUAAGUUAUAGCAUUUUAUAGACAACUUGUUGACUAUGAUUUGUCUUGUAGCUUACUCGCUUAUGUUAUUUUACCUACGCUUAGGAUGUUGAACGCGCACAGAGUCUC
RNAcentral lists this ribosomal RNA (775 nucleotides) under uncultured Neocallimastigales. Its description in RNAcentral is "partial large subunit ribosomal RNA". It matches the Rfam family "Eukaryotic large subunit ribosomal RNA", at positions 26 to 614 of the family's 3401-position model. The record is from RNAcentral. Lineage: Eukaryota; Fungi; Neocallimastigomycota; Neocallimastigomycetes; Neocallimastigales.